RNAcentral lists this ribosomal RNA (444 nucleotides) under uncultured bacterium. RNAcentral describes it as "partial 16S ribosomal RNA". It matches the Rfam family "Bacterial small subunit ribosomal RNA", at positions 354 to 796 of the family's 1533-position model. The record is from RNAcentral.
GUGGGGAAUAUUGGGCAAUGGUCGGAAGACUGACCCAGCCAUGCCGCGUGCAGGAAGACGGCCCUCUGGGUUGUAAACUGCUUUUAUCUGGGAAGAAAAAGGCCAUGCGUGGCAAAUUGCCGGUACCAGAUGAAUAAGCACCGGCUAACUCCGUGCCAGCAGCCGCGGUAAUACGGAGGGUGCGAGCGUUGUCCGGAUUUAUUGGGUUUAAAGGGUGCGUAGGCGGCUGAUUAAGUCAGCGGUGAAAGACUUCGGCUUAACCGGAGCAGUGCCGUUGAUACUGGUUGGCUUGAGUGUCGGAGGGGUACAUGGAAUUGAUGGUGUAGCGGUGAAAUGCAUAGAUACCAUCAGGAACACCGAUAGCGAAGGCAUUGUACUGGCCGACAACUGACGCUGAUGCACGAAAGUGUGGGGAUCGAACAGGAUUAGAUACCCUUGUAGUCC